GAAGUCCGCCAGACCGUCGCUGCCCGCCCGGUGAAAGCCGGAACGGGGAGAGGAAAGUCCGGGCUCCAGAGAGCGGGAUGCCGGGUAACCCCCGGCCGCAGCAGCCGCGGCUUCGCCGCCGCGGUCAAGGCGAGGAACAGGGCCACAGAGACGAGUCGCUUCCGGUCACACGGAAGCGGGUGAAACGCGGCAACCUCCAUCCGGAGCAACGCCAAAUAGGCGGACCAUGACGUGGCUCGCGUCGUCCGCGGGUAGGCGGCUCGAGCGUUCCGGCAACGGAACGCCUAGAGGAAUGACGGUCAUAGCGCGCGCGAGCGCGCCGUAACAGAACCCGGCUUACCGGCGGACUUCGACU
Molecule: RNase P RNA, 355 nt
Filed under: Burkholderiales bacterium
Lineage: Bacteria; Pseudomonadati; Pseudomonadota; Betaproteobacteria; Burkholderiales
Also listed under: 1 other name
Description: RNase P RNA component class A
Rfam family: Bacterial RNase P class A
About the family: Ribonuclease P (RNase P) is a ubiquitous endoribonuclease, found in archaea, bacteria and eukarya as well as chloroplasts and mitochondria. Its best characterised activity is the generation of mature 5'-ends of tRNAs by cleaving the 5'-leader elements of precursor-tRNAs. Cellular RNase Ps are ribonucleoproteins.
Source: RNAcentral